GACGAACGCUGGCGGCGUGCCUAACGCAUGCAAGUCGAGCGGGGUUGAGGCGAGAGGUAACUCGAACUUCUACCUAGCGGCGGACGGGUGAGUAACGCGUGGGCAACCUGCCUCAAGGUUUGGGAUAACAGCCCGAAAGGGCUGCUAAUACCGGAUAUGCCUAUGGCCUCGCAUGGGGCUAUGAGCAAAGGGGAAAACCCGCCUUGAGAUGGGCCCGCGUCCCAUCAGCUAGUUGGUGAGGUAACAGCUCACCAAGGCGACGACGGGUAGCCGGCCUGAGAGGGUGACCGGCCACACUGGGACUGAGACACGGCCCAGACUCCUACGGGGGGCAGCAGUGGGGGAUCUUGCACAAUGGGCGAAAGCCUGAUGCAGCGACGCCGCGUGAGCGAAGAAGGCCUUCGGGUUGUAAAGCUCUGUCUGGAGGGACGAACAAAAUGACGGUACCUCCGGAGGAAGCCACGGCUAACUACGUG
This 476-nucleotide ribosomal RNA is filed under the name uncultured bacterium. Its description in RNAcentral is "bacterial SSU rRNA". It matches the Rfam family "Bacterial small subunit ribosomal RNA", at positions 28 to 507 of the family's 1533-position model. The record is from RNAcentral.